AGUGAACGCUGGCGGUAGGCCUAACACAUGCAAGUCGAACGGCAGCACAGUAAGAUCUUGCUCUUACGGGUGGCGAGUGGCGGACGGGUGACGAAUACAUCGGAAUCUACUUUUUCGUGGGUGAUAACGUAGGGAAACUUACGCUAAUACCUCAUAUGACCUACGGGUUAAAGCAGUGGAUCUUCGGACCUUGCGCGAUUGAUUGAGCCGAUGUCGGAUUAGCUAGUUGGCGGGGUAAAGGCCCACCAAGGCGACGAUCCGUAGCUGGUCUGAGAGGAUGAUCAGCCACACUGGAACUGAGACACGGUCCAGACUCCUACGGGAGGCAGCAGUGGGGAAUAUUGGACAAUGGGCGCAAGCCUGAUCCAGCAAUACCGCGUGGGUGAAGAAGGCCUUCGGGUUGUAAAGCCCUUUUGUUGGGAAAGAAAAGAAGCAGGUUAAUACCCGGCUGUUCUGACGGUACCCAAAGAAUAAGCAACGGCUAACUUCGUG
Molecule: ribosomal RNA, 492 nt
Filed under: uncultured bacterium
Lineage: Bacteria
Description: partial 16S ribosomal RNA
Rfam family: Bacterial small subunit ribosomal RNA
Source: RNAcentral